GGGCUCACUUCAGCAGCACAUGUACUAAAAUUUGAUACAGAGAAUAUUAACACAGCCCUUGUGCAAGGAUGACAUUCAAAUUUGUGAAGUGUUCCAUGUUUUU
Molecule: small nuclear RNA, 103 nt
Organism: Nannospalax galili (Upper Galilee mountains blind mole rat)
Lineage: Eukaryota; Metazoa; Chordata; Mammalia; Rodentia; Spalacidae
Source: Ensembl